This 755-nucleotide long non-coding RNA is filed under the name Manihot esculenta (cassava). Its description in RNAcentral is "long non-coding RNA (MESC_LNC000409)". The record is from RNAcentral. Lineage: Eukaryota; Viridiplantae; Streptophyta; Magnoliopsida; Malpighiales; Euphorbiaceae.
AAAGAUCUCAAGAAGACCAAUACAUGUUUAAAACCUGCAAAUGAAAUCUGUAAAAAAANNNNNNNNNNNNNNNNNNNNNNNNNUGAAUGCUAAUUAUGUCUAAAAAAAUCACAAUUUCAUCCAAUUUGGACUAAGCUAAAACUCACCAAAUCUGUCAAAAAAAAAAAACAUGUUGCACAUCUAAUAUAUCCAACAAAAAACUCACAACUUGCACACCUCUUAGAUUUAUACAUUGCUAUUUGCAAAAAUAAAAAAGAAAUUACAAAAUUAAUUCCCAAAUCAUUAAACCCCUUAUCUUAACAGUAAACCUUAAAAAAAACAAAUAAAUAAAAAAAUAUUAAUUGUAACUCAAAAAAUCUAAACAAUAAAGCAACGAAUUUAUCUUCACAGUAAAACAAAAGGGAUUUUCGUACAUUUGAAGUGGAUCACGAUUUCGUUUUCUUCUGCUUAUAUGAACACUGAUUCCACCUUCGGAAUAUGGUGGGUUCAGUGUUUCUUGAGAAGAUUAAGGAAAUAAGGGAUAAUGGGACCAUAGAGAGAGAGAAUUUUUGAUAGAGAAAGAGACAGAGAGUGCGCGAGAGAGGGACAAGACUUCAACAGAGACAGACAUAGCGCAAGAGAGAGGGAUAAGUUUUGAUAGAGAUAGAGGGGUUUAGUUUCGACAGAGAGAGAUAGAGAAAGCGCGAGAGAAAGGGACAAAAUUGAGAGAGAGAAGUUUAGACAAAGAUAGAGAGAGCAUGAGAGAGAGAAGAAAG